GACGAACGCUGGCGGCGUGCCUAACACAUGCAAGUCGAACGGAAAGGCCCUGCUUUUGUGGGGUUCUCGAGUGGCGAACGGGUGAGUAACACGUGAGUAACCUUCCCUUGACUUUGGGAUAACUUCAGGCAACUGCGGCUAAUACCGGAUAGGAGCUCCUGCUGCAUGGGGGGGGUUGGAAAGUUUCGGCGGUGGGGGAUGGACUCGCGGGUUAUCAGCUGGUUGGUGGGGUAGUGGCUUACCACGGCUUCGACGGGUAGCCGGCGUGGGAGGGUGACCGGCGACAUUGGGACUGCGGGACGCCGCAGUGUGCUAUGUGGGGCAGCAGUGGGAAAUAUUGCCCAGUGGGCGGAAGCCUGAUGCGGAGGCGCCGCGUGUGGGAUGACGGCCUUCGGGUUGUAAACCGCAUUAGCCUGUGACGAAGCGUGAGUGACGGUAAUGGGUAAAGAAGCACCGGCUAACUACGUG
This 468-nucleotide ribosomal RNA is filed under the name uncultured bacterium. RNAcentral's name for it is "partial 16S ribosomal RNA". It matches the Rfam family "Bacterial small subunit ribosomal RNA", at positions 28 to 507 of the family's 1533-position model. The record is from RNAcentral.